GGAGAGGAGCGAGGGGGCCACCCAGCUGCAGUGCAGUGAAGAUGAGGGAAUGUCUAGGGACCCAGAGGGGGCUCUGACCACGGCAGGGCACUCUGCAUCAGAAACCACGACACGUGCAGUUGGCACUCAGACAGAGCCAUCGCUGGAUGCCAACUACAAGGAUCUGGAGCGCAGGCUGGCUGUGGUUGAGAAGUGGAUGAACAGGAGGAAGGG
Molecule: long non-coding RNA, 213 nt
Organism: Sphaerodactylus townsendi
Lineage: Eukaryota; Metazoa; Chordata; Lepidosauria; Squamata; Sphaerodactylidae
Exons: 3
Source: RefSeq, a predicted model, not a curated record